This 351-nucleotide ribosomal RNA is filed under the name Triticum aestivum (bread wheat). RNAcentral's name for it is "partial small subunit ribosomal RNA". Lineage: Eukaryota; Viridiplantae; Streptophyta; Magnoliopsida; Poales; Poaceae. The record is from RNAcentral.
AUGAGUUCACCAGUGGAUAGUUUCUCGGCGCCGGGAGUGGAAAGCUCAGCUGUGCAUGGAACUCAACAUGACAAGUCAUCCACUCCACAAGGUACAGAUGGCAUCGAGGCUGAGACGACCCAAGGUACUGGUACAGAACCUAGACAACCUAAAAGGAGGAAACUUACAUCUGAAGUAUGGAAUGAGUUUCAUAAAGAAUUUAUUGGUGGGAGAUGGCAAGCUCAAUGCAUGUAUUGUAAAAAAUGGCUUAGUGCAGCAAGCACAGGUGGCACCACACAUUUGAACAACCAUUUGAAAACUUGUUGUGCCAAGAGUGCUUUUAGCAACUUAGCAUGCCUUUUAAUCUUAUAG